CAAUAGCGUAUAUUUAAGUUGUUGCAGUUAAAAAGCUCGUAGUUGGAUUUCGGGUGGGACGCAGCGGUCUCGCAUUGCGUUUGUACUGCUGCAGCCCUCCUUCUUGCCGGGGGCAGCCUCUCGGACUUCACUGUCUGGGGGUCAGAAUCGGCGAUGUUACUUUGAGUAAAUUAGAGUGUUCAAAGCAAGCUUACGCUCUGAAUAUAAUAGCAUGGGAUAACACGACAGGACUCUGGCCUAUCGUGUUGGUCUAUAGGACCAGAGUAAUGAUUAAGAGGGACAGUCGGGGGCAUUCGUAUUCCGUUGUCAGAGGUGAAAUUCUUGGAUUUACGGAAGACGAACAUCUGCGAAAGCAUUUGCCAAGGAUGUUUUCAUUGA
RNAcentral lists this ribosomal RNA (378 nucleotides) under uncultured eukaryote. RNAcentral describes it as "partial 18S ribosomal RNA". It matches the Rfam family "Eukaryotic small subunit ribosomal RNA", at positions 592 to 976 of the family's 1831-position model. The record is from RNAcentral.